AAGGCUUUAGCAUAGUCAAUGAAGCAGAAAUAGAUGUUUUUCUGGAAGUCUCUUACUUUUUCCAUGAUCCAACAGAUGUUGGCAAUUUGAACUCUGGCUCGUCUGUCUUUUUUAAAUCCCGCUUGAACAUUUGCAAUUUCUUGGU
Molecule: long non-coding RNA, 145 nt
Organism: Cervus elaphus (red deer)
Lineage: Eukaryota; Metazoa; Chordata; Mammalia; Artiodactyla; Cervidae
Exons: 3
Source: RefSeq, a predicted model, not a curated record